UUAAAAAAUAGAUUUAUAUUUUAUAAUCAGAAGAAGGUAACAAGAAUUUAAAAAGAACCCCAUGAACCUGGAACCCUAGCUCAUUUACCUGAUCCUACAACACAUAUUAUUUAGAUAAAUACAUGAUAUACCAGAGACAUGGUAUAACAAUUUUAACAAUCAAAAUUCAAUUUCUCUAUUUCCAGUUUAUAAUCUGUAAAGUUGCAUUUGUUUCAUAGUGUGUAUAGUGUUUAAAGUGUGUUUUUCUGUACAUUAUGAAUGUAUAAAUAACAUUCCAAUUAGGGUAAUGACAGUAUUUUCUGUCUUGUAUUUGUCUUAACUGCAACCAAGUCAUUAAAAGUAGAAAGCUCAAUAGCAGCUUUUUAGUAAUUCAAAGAGAAAAAGAAUUAACACUGAAGAUGCUAUUCCAAAUAUAAACUAUAUUUUAACCUUGUCCUAUUCUUUUCAUAUAAUCAGUCCAUGUAAGUAUUACUUUUAAUGUAUUGUUUAGAUAUAAAGUCAUUCUAAAACCGUACAUUGCCUUAUAGAAUAGUGGUAUUAUAGAAUGAUUUAACUAACCACUUAUGAAAAGAAAAACAGGAUUUUCAUUCAUUAAGUAUACAUGUGAUUAUGUACUUUUAAAUUUUAUAUGUAUUUAUUAUUAUAAUGAUACAGACUGAAAGUCCCUUAGCCCAAUCCCAGUGAGUCAAGUCCCAAUACUAAUUCAAUAAAGUUUCUCCACCUAACUACAUGUGGAACUUCCACCUGAAUAGAAAUAUUCUUAAUUUUCAAAUAGCCAAAAAUAGCAAUGAUUCUUCCCGGACAUGAUCUAAUGUAACCUUACAUUACAGUUCUGCAGUUAUUCUGAAUUCAAGCUAUCUAAUUUACCAAUUUGCAAGUGGAACAAGGUAACCACUGAUCACGUUAGGAAGAUUUAAAUUUUGAAUGUAGGCAUAUUGAUAAAAAAAAAAAAAAAAAAGAAAAGGUUGGACAUUUUACACCAAAUCAUAAUUUCCACAUUCAAGAGCAGAAAGAAAAGGCUGGGGAAGAAGAAAACUUUACCACUUUGCUUAUCGUACUGAACUUCUAUAACUUUGAGCCUAUCUGGUUUUCCAUGUAAUUUAGAGUAGAUCCGCUUAAACAACAUCCACGGGCGAUCGGCUACACCUUGAAUAAAGAUGAUUUCCUUUGAGUUGAACUAACACAUUUGGGAAGCAAUGGGGUCUGGAGAUGCAUGUAAUGCAAAUGCAGGCAGUUAUGUACCCUGGUGGCUUCCUCUGUCCUUUAUAAUCCCACUGGUCUUCUUUCAGCCCCUCCUACUGACUGUGCUGCAUAUGUCCCCCCAGGGCCUAUGCACCAGCUGCAGUCCCUGGAAAAUUCUUUCCCCACUCCUCACAUAGGCAGGAAAAAGGUGAAUGGUUAAACACUUGGGUGCUAGCACAGGCCCCUAGGUAGGAAUACUCUCAGUUUCCGGUUUCCCUCUGCCAACUGUGGUGAGGCACUAUUGUGCCAUCCUCCCUGGAAAUUUGGAGAGAUUAGAUACAUCAACACAGGUGAAACACUCAUCACAGUGCCUGGGGCAGUGUAAGAGAUCGAUAAAUAUUAGCUAUUAUUAUCAGUAAUGUCUUUUCUUUUUCUCUUGUUGCCCAGGCUAGAGUGCAAUGGCAUGAUCUUGGCUCACUGCAACCUCCGCCUCCUGAGUUCAAGCAAUUCUCCUGCCUCAGCCUCCCAAGUGGUGGGAUUACAGGCAUGCACCACCACACCUGGCUAAUUUUGUAUUUUUAGUAGAGACGGGGUUUCAUUCUGUUGGUCAGGCUAGUCUCAAACUCCUGACUUCAGGUGAUUCAACCGCCUCCCAAAGUGCUGGGAUUACAGGCGUGAGUCACUGCACCUGGCCAGUACUACCACUUUUAUUAUUCACCUAGUUAUAUCUGACUCAUGUUUCAGGGAAGCCUUCCCUAAACAUCCUGAUUAGGUGAAAUCCUCCCAUUAGAGGGCUCAUCACAGUGUUUACUCUUCCUUUGUAGCAUUCAUC
RNAcentral lists this long non-coding RNA (2014 nucleotides) under Homo sapiens (human). RNAcentral's name for it is "HSALNT0186656". Lineage: Eukaryota; Metazoa; Chordata; Mammalia; Primates; Hominidae. The record is from RNAcentral.